CGCGAAACCAGGCGAGCUACUACUAUACGUAUGUUAGUACAGAAUAUGUAGCAUAAUAAUUAAAGAUAGAGUAGUAGGGGUGAUAGGCUUCCAAGUCUGGUGAUAUCUCGUUACCAUCGAAAUGUAUUAAGUACAUCGUCAAUUCAUUAGUGACAAGGCUGGUGAAAAAUAUGUAUAUUGGUGAUUUUUAACGUACAUAGUUUAACCGCUUGUAACCGAGUGCAUAAAUAUUAAAGUUGCAAACAUAAUAAAUAAUAGAGGGUACUAAUUAAUCAUAUUGCUUUUUAAUACUGUGUGUAUGAGUAAUUUAGGUAUUAUUGAUGAACUCGGCAACAUUUCUUUCACCUGUUUAUCAAAAACAUCGCCAGUAGGAAAAGACUAUUGGUUAUUUCUGCUCAAUGUUUUAUAAAUAGCCGCAGUACCCUGACUGUGCAAAGGUAGCAUAAUCAUUUGGCUUAUAAUUGAAGUCUCGCAUGAAGGAAAUCAUGGGGGAAAGCUCUAUUAACGAUAAUUAACGAAUUUACUUAGGGGGUGCAAAGUCCCCCAGAUAAAUAAUAGACGAGAAGACCCUAGAAAUUUGUAAGAUGUGUUGAAAUCGCUUUUUGUUGGGGCAACAUUGUAGCAUUUAACCUACAGUAACAACAUGACAUGUUUUAGAAAGAUGAAAUUACUCUAGGGAUAACAGCGUAAUUCUCAAGAGUUUGCGACCUCGAUGUUGGACUAGGAAGCAAUCGCUUAGAA
Molecule: ribosomal RNA, 741 nt
Filed under: Amplirhagada elevata
Lineage: Eukaryota; Metazoa; Mollusca; Gastropoda; Stylommatophora; Camaenidae
Description: partial 16S ribosomal RNA
Rfam family: Archaeal large subunit ribosomal RNA (bases 269-545)
Source: RNAcentral